CUUUGCUGGUGAUCCCUGUAUAUCCAGGGACUUCUGAAGGAAAAAGCGGAAGAUGGGCAGCAUCUAACAGCAGUCUGCAGGAACACUUGACAUUGACACAUAUCAGAAGUAUUUUUAGCAUCCGAGUGCACUUUUUCUUGGCCACAUCAUGACAUCUGAGACUACUCCUACAGCAUCAGUCUGAGGGUAAUCGUUUUACAACGGCGGAGAGAAGGCAGGGAGGUUAAAUGAUUUCUUCCCGUCUGUGCAGCAUGACAGUAGCAGUCCUGGGAAUAAAUCUUUGGACCUGCCCACACUUCCCUCUGCUGCACUGGGGGCUGUCAGCACCUGGUCAAGGACUUGUUGCCAUUUCUGCCCCUCCUAGGGAGGAUUUGUGAAGUCAAACCUUUGCAAGGAAGGCAGGCAAUGCAUCCUCUCACUGACAGUGGUAUUCCUAGUGCCCUUCCUAGCAUGCCCUGCACAGAUUCCAUCCAUCAUCAAGUGCCAUCUCAGCACUAUUCUUCCAAAAGUGGCUGAAGUCUGAGGCUUAGAACAGCUUCCAUGCCCAGCAGCAGUGACUUCAAUGCUCUCCAAGGUAUGAGGUGACAGAGAGCACUAGUGACCCUUCAAAGUGAAGGUGACACAUGCAUGUUCACCACCUGAACCUCUUUCUCCUUGCUCAGAAGAAUCUGUGCUACUUUAUUCCAAGAAAAACCUCAUUCAAUCAGCACUUCAAGUCUCCAUGGUACAAAUGCUUAGAGGUCAAAUCUGACUGAACUGGGGCCACUGGUGCCAGAUCUGUUGGGCUGACAGGUCUGUUAGGUGAGUUUAAAUCAGGUGUCUUGAUAUUGACAUGCUGGUCUUUGAUGGAAAGUCAGUCCCAUUAAAUCUUUAUGGGAGUAGCAAGGUUAGCAUGGGGUUAGUGCAACAAUUGUAGGGGUUGAUUUCAUUUUCUCCUUGGCAGUAACAUAAGAGCAAAGCUGCUGGCAGCACUUACCAGUGUUAUUGGAGUCUGAAGGCCUCCCAUGGACUGCCUGGGCAUUUUAAAAUCCUAUUCCUGCACAGCCAUCACAAAUUAAAAGAGCAAUUAUGGCGAAAUGCAUUUGUGCUAAAGCUACAUCAUCCAUUGUUACAUAAAAAUCACGUCUCUCUGUCUUGAUUUCACUUUUGGCUACAGACCAAAUUCGCAGGACAAAGGCAAAGCUGGCCAUCCUGCCGGGAAGCAAAGCCUACAACUCUUCUUGCUGACACCUAUAAUUAGGCUUGGUUCUUAUCUCAGGAUGAUGAGUGCUGGUGGGAAAGAGGAACAAAGAGGAGAAAGUUCCUGCCAGGGGUAUGGUGUGGAGCUGAGCCAGAGCAGACCCAGGCCAUGAGCAGCAGUUGCCAACAGAUGUUUGCCUGGUCUUGAAUUACGUUGUUUGCAUGCCUGGAAAAGAUAGUGUCUUAUAAAUAACUGUGCUUUGAUGCUCUGUGGCCUUGCAUAUUCAGGUCCCACCAUUAGGCAUAUACGUGUUAGUCAGAACUAGCUGGAAAUGGACUGUGGGUGGAAUUUCUUUUGUCAUGCCCAGCAGUGGGGUGUUGUCAGCUCUUCCUGGGAAGUUUUGGAGGACAGUGGAAGAAUGACUCAUCCUUUCUGCUCUGCACAAGGGAGCCUAGGAAAGCACUGUGCUUCUGGAGAAAAAGGCGUGCAAUUCAGCGGCUUAAUACUCCCAGCACGACGUCCUCCCCAUGUACCACUGAAGAAUGGGCACUGAGGAUUUAUAGUAACAUGCUGCAGUGCCCUGAGGUAGGGAUGUAUUUAUUCAUUCAGAACAAGAAACCAGAACACAGUUGUUGUGGAAGGAGGCUUUGCCCAGGGUGAUGUGGUCCCCUGGUAGGGCUGGGGUCAAACUUCUUUCACCUGGCUUUAGGGGUAGGGAGCGCUUGUCCAGGCAUUGCAAAUAGAGGAUUAUUCACUGCUAUGUGUUCUGAGGAGUCUCCGUGACAUUUCUGAGAACUGCUGCUGAAAGGGAGAAAACCAGGAGUUAUUAUGAAGUGUAUCAUCUUUUAAAUUAUUGUCUCAGUCAACAAACACAGCUGAGUUUCCUGGAAAGAGAAUUAGGACCCCUCUCACAUCAUUUUGCAGUCUGAUUCCUUUGCAAAUGGUUUUGUUUGUAGAUGAAGCAUGUAACUGGCACCUGCGUUAGGAUGAGUGAGGGUUUCUGUCCUCUGCCUUGGAAUAACAGCCUUGGGAUUACAGCUUGGGUUGCCCUGCUCUGUACUCAGGUCAAUUGAGUAAAGUGAAUCAUCCUCAUCUGCAAUGCACUGUAUUCAAAGAGCAGAGAUGCUCUCCUUGUAAUUAAACCUAAUUUCUCGGUUGCCCUAGAGAAUACAGAAUCUCACCUCAUUAGUGCAGUCAGUCUUCUGCCAGUACCAGGAAGAGGGUGUUUUUAAUAUCUCUGUUGCACAGGAUACUGAGUACAGACUGGUGCCAUUUUGGGUCAUGCUAUUAAGUGAAGAAAAUCUCUAUUACAGCAGAUGGGUUCACACCAGUGGAUACUUUGAAUUCUUUUCCCGAAAUCAAUCAUCUUUAGGGAUUUAUACUGCUCUUGUUAUGAGAAUGUCAAAGCCUCUCCAAAUCUCCUUGUAUCUGCCCACACGCUUAGGACUUGUCUGUGAGCUGAAUUCACCCAUGCAGGAAAUUCCACCCCCCACAACUCCGCCCCCCCUUCCCAUUUGCUUUUCAUUCUGAAGCAAAAAGGAAUUGCACACACAAAUGCUGAGGCUGUAAUGCAGUGCUGCACGCAACUUUCCAGUUCUGUAAAACACUGGUGCAUGAGAUGAAACCAUUUCAUCUCAAGACAAUCAUGAUAAUAAUAAAAAUAUUCCUUCCAGGUAGGGACAAGAGAGGAUAUUUCAGUGCCUUCCUUUGCAGGCAAUGUCAGGUGAAGGCAUCCUAGUGCCCAGCAGUGCAAGCAGCUCAGUGGUAGCAGGGAUCCAGGAUCCCUGGGGUGCGACAGCAAUAUCCUAUAAGCAACACCUCGGAGUGAGAACAUGAGCAGCCAGAGAGGCCAGCUGAGAUGAUGGGAACAAGCACAUGUCAUUGUGAUUAAUGGUUUAUUGAUGGGCUUACAGCUUUUCCUUCUAUCAUUAACAUGCAUAACAACAUAAACAGGUCUGGGUUUAGAUUUUUUACUAAUUUGUUUGUUCCUAGCUGUUCAAUAGAUCUUUUUUGGCAAACAGGCUUCAGUCUUUGAGUUAUUCACAAACACGCUUGCUAAAUAUAUUACUGUCCACUUAAUGAAUUCCAGUUGUUCAUUAGCACACCUAUCACUUGAUAUUACUUCUGCUUCCUGAAUGGAAGUGAUAAAAUAGAUAUGUUAAAUAGUAGUAAACUAAAAAAAAGAAGAAGGCAUGUGGGAAAAAAGAAAGUUUCAAUUAAAAAACAGGUGGACUCUAUGCUGUGCAAAGGUAGAGCAGUGGACAGUGAUGGAGCAGCAGCAAAGCAUAGACUGAAACCAUAACCACGCAUUGGGAUGAGUCAGAAAGAGAACUCUACACUGCAGCAUCCCUAAUGAAGGCUCCAGCUGCUCUGCAGAGCCUGUUUUGACCCACACUGUCAUAUUCCAUGUGUAAACCUCAGUUGCAGUUGUAAGCUUGUAUCUCCAGCAGAGUGGAAAGGAAAGCAUCUUCUCUUUCCCCAAGGAGCUUUUAGGAUCUCCAAGUGAUCUCCCACUCUGCACACAAGAGGUAAUUAAUAGAGUAUCUUAAUUUUCUUUGUGAAAUACAGACGAAAAGCUUUCUAAUUUUGGUGUAGCUUAUGCUCUGUAUUGAGAUUAAAUUUAAUUUCCCUAGAGAAUUGCUUCUGUUUCACAAUGGGGUUUGAAUUCAACCCAAGAAUUGUAAGCCCCACAUUGCUUCCCUUCCCAGAUGUCAUGCUGGCUGUUUGGACAACUCACUCCCAUUCUGUCCCUUGGAAAAUGAUCAAGGUGGGAUAUUUGGACACAAAUUCUUCCUGCCAUGCCAUGUCUCUUGGCAAAUUACAUUUUGUAGUCAAGAUCCAUUAAUAAUUAUAUACCUAGUUUUAAUAAACACACUCAAGUGCCACUAUAGGAUUCCUGGCAGAUAUGGGAUCCAUCCCAUCUCCAUGGAGCCACCGUACCCUGGUGGGUGAGAGAGCUGGGACCACAGGCUGGGAAGCACUGAGCGUUCUGGCGCUCUUGCAUGAGUGUGUUUGGAAAGUAUUUUCAGUUCCACAGAGCACCUUGUAAUUGAAUCAGAUAAAUACAUGGAAGGCACUGUGAUUUUCAGGUGCUACUGAGCUCUGGCUGCAUGAUUACAGCAAAGCUUUCAGCUCCUCUGAGCUCGCUGACAGUGACUUAUUUCAGUAUUUGUAUGAGCUGCUGUUUAUGAUGGAAUGGUUCACAGGGCAAUAAACAGGAUAAAAAGCCAGGCUGAAGAAUCUGAUUACUGUAAAAUCCAUUUAUUUUAAGUACACCAGUUAUUUCUAUUAUGGGGCAUUUUAGAAAUAAUUCUGCAUCUUGAAGUAGUUUAAAGAAGAUUAAUUUUCAAAGGGAAAAACCUUUCUCAGAUCCAUUUUAUCUGCAUCCCGGACAAAGCGUGAAAUUAGGAGCUUAUCUACAAUCACUAAAAUUGAAGGCAGAUCUUUCCCUUGACUUUUAGUGGGUUAUAAAUCAAACUGGAUGUGAAUGGCUGAGCGGUGCCGUUGUGGUGACUGAUCCGUGGAGUGAUGGGCUGGAGACACGUGCUACCAAUAAGCACGGAGGUGUUACCUGUCAAGUGACAGCUUCACUGGGCUCAGUGGCAGAAAGCCCACCUGGGGGCUUCAGAGCUCACCCAAGAGCUUUCUGGAUGGUUGGGAGGUACCAAGUGCAUUCUGCCAGCAGAAGUUCCUGUUUUACUGCAUCCUUCCUCCUCUGAUGCUAAACUCUUGCUACUGAGAAAUAAAUUAGAACUAAAGUAAUACAGAGGUGGCAAUUAAUAAAACAUAAAAAUUAGCUUCCUACUAAGUGGGUUUUAUUAACCUUUAAGAUAGUGAUAAACAUGGUAGCCUUUGUUCUAUCCACUUAUCUGCUGGUCUGGGUUAUUUUGUAUAUGUAAUCAGACUUCUAUCCUUGCUGUUGCAGUGGAAUUCAUUUUGGUUGCCUGUCAAGGAAAAAAAAAAAAGCUACAAUUACUUUCCAACUGCUGCAAGCAUCCUGAUCUGUAUGCGGGCCAAAUGAAGGACUCAAGCACUGCUCUGGUGGAUGGCUCAUGUGGACUUCAGCAGCCUUUAAUAUGAAGGAUUUGUGCUUUAAAAGAAAGAAGGGGAAACAACCUGAUUUACCUGCAGCUGAAGAACUUGCAAUCAAUGGGAUGAGGAGGAGACUCUUCAGCCUCCUGGAAGCUCCUAUUGCCAGAUUGAGCCAGGCAGUUCAGCAGCUGCUUCUCUGUGAAUGGGGACAGAAGACGAAAGGAUCUCCAGCAGGGAGUUUAUGGACUGAAAGCCUCACGAAACCCAAAACUUAAGAAGUCCUUCAUUAGAAGAGAUUUUGCAAGUGGUAAUGCUGCACUGUUUCAAUCAAUUCAUUUGACACCCACUCAUUUUGAAGUAAUUUAUCACAAUUAAGAUAGACAUUGUAGCACUGCGAUGAAAACUCUGGCAGAUUACAUAUUAUUAUGCCAUUCAGUGAUGUUUGCAAGCCUACUUUUUCUUUUUUCUUUUAUGUAAAAGAACAAGGUUUACAUAAAUCCUUGUUUCUGAGCCUGGAGCCCAUCUCUCAUGGGAGGAGGGGCUGCAGGGUUGCACUGCUGGUCCUGGGGUGCAAAGCUGGGAUUUGGGAUGUUGUCACUCAGCAUCACUUGGGUCACUGCCUCUGAAAGCCCCAGCCCUGUAGGGCCCAACCUGGCACUGGGGGUUGUGUUCACAUCAGUUCCCAUCCAGGUCCAGGGGAAACUGAAUCUGAUGUAGUACAGAGCUGCAGCCAGCCAUGUAAAAGCCAGGUGGGAAAUAACCUGGUCCAUUCCCAGUGCUGUUUUUCUGUUCAUGUGUCUGGGAAUCUUUCUUUUUCAUCAGCGAUAAGAAGAUCCUCCUGUUUCUCAAACCAUGGGAUGUUCUGGGGGGCUGAAGUGGGAAGGUCAAAUAAUUUCUGUUAAAUCAACCAAAGCUGCAGCUCCCCAGGCAGCCAGAGCCAGCAGAGCAGCGCUGACGGCUGCUGGGAUAUUUCAGUCUGAAUUUUCCAGAGAAAAUAUUUCUAUCUUGAAAUUUACCAGGCAUUAUUUUUUAAGUAGCUGGGUCAAAAAAAGAUCAGGAUCGGUAAGCAAAGCAAAGUGCUUCGGUGCAGGUCCUGCAAUAUGCCUUGAUUGAGUUGUCAUGCAAUGCAUUCCCUCCCCAAGCUUUCAUUUCAGCAAGACAGAUACACUGCAAAAAAGAAGUCUCAAAGUAGCAGAGGAUGACAAAUGUGUUUGGAUUAUUUUCUCCCCCACCUGUUUUUCUAUCUUCUUGUGCAGUGCUUUUCCUCUCCCUUCAUGGAAAGAAAACAUGUGUAGAAUGCUCCUUGAAAAGAAGACAAGAGAAACGCAUCCUGGGGUCUUCUCAAGCUCUAAAGCAGCUCUUUAACUAUGAAAAAUACACAGAGGGACAAAUGACAGCUGGAUUUGCAAGUGCUUGCAGUUCUGGAGUUUGGCUCUGUGUAAUGGCUCUGCAUCCAUCCAGCAAGACUGAAUGCAACCACAGUGGAUAGAUGGGGACAGCAGCAUCCCAGCUGCCCUGUGCCACCAAAGCUCCAUGGCUCAGUGCUCGCCUGCAUGAGCUGCCAAGGAGAAAAUGUAACUCUUGUUCAGCGCCGUCAGCAGCCGAACAAUAUGUAAAAUAUAAUCUCUGACAGAUCACGUGCCUUUUCCUGCAUGAAAACAAUUUGUGGGCUUCUCUUUCCCCUUCACCAAGGUUGUGUUUUUUUUCCCAAGUGUUGCCAGUGGAUUUUGGUGCAACAAUUCAAGAAUGAAAGUAGAAAACUGCACAGGUUUGAGCUCUGCAGGUGUCUCCAACCCUCACCUCCACCCCAGCUCACUUCUUUGCCUUUCUGCAAAGCUCAGCCCUGGCUCGGUGGGCAAACAGCCCAAGAUUUAGCUCCCGGAGGCCUAAUUUUGGUCAAUCUCAUCCCAGGAGAGUGAAUAAUGGAGGUUUUGGUGACUUCUGAUGCCUUCUUACCCGUGCAGGAGAUGCCUCACGGCAGCUUCAGGCUUCGAACCUCAGCAAUGUGUUCAGAAUUCUUCUCCUGGAGACUGCCGCUUUUCCGUGAGUUAAGAGAGUGAGUAUUGGGGCAUGAACAGAGCUGAGCAUUCAUCGCCACCAAAAGUAACAUCUGGAUCCAUCACCUGAGCCAGGUGCCAGUACUGAGGAGCAGAUGCUUUAGGAAGCAUCACUCCUGUUUUAGAGUUUACAUUUCCCAGAGCCACAGGAGUUAUUUGGUCCAUACUUAGGGUAGAAGUCCAGCUCUGGGUUUCUUUGUUUCCCAUGAAGCCACUUUCCAAUGGAGAAUGCUGUUUAUACAAAACCUGCUUUCUUUUGCAGUAUGAUAUCCAGCUUUCCAUGCUUACCAUGUCAGUCUAUGAAAGGUGUUAGCAGUAGUUGGGAUGAAAACAACAUAACCCUUUUUUUCCUUGCAAAUGGAGUGUUUUGAAACUUAAAGGAAAAGACAGCUGGGAGCAUGCAAAUGUCUCCUCCUCCUAUGGUAGAAUGCAGCGCAAAGAGUACAGAGCUGGAGUGGGCACACAGUGCUGGUGGUUAAUGGGGACUUGAAAACAGGCACUGCAAAAAUCCAAUUCUGGGAAAUCCCAGGGCUGACAUUUAUUUACAUAAAGCAUAUAAUUGAAAUGUCAGAAGAGAACAAUUAAAAGCAUCAGCUGACAUUAAUGUUAAUGAAAGCAGCACCGUGACUAUCUGCUUUCUGUGAAAAGGGAAAGAUUGGUUUGGGCUGCUUUUCCCUUUCCAUUAAUUUCCUUAAUCUGCUCUUCAGCGCACUGAGCAUUCUGAUCUGCUAACUACAGCAUGCCUCCAACAGCUCAAUAGAUCUUCCUUCAGCAGUGCAGAGCAGCUCUCGCACU
Coturnix japonica (Japanese quail) is the source of this 8064-nucleotide non-coding RNA. Lineage: Eukaryota; Metazoa; Chordata; Aves; Galliformes; Phasianidae. The record is from RefSeq and is a predicted model, not a curated record.